This 446-nucleotide ribosomal RNA is filed under the name uncultured bacterium. RNAcentral describes it as "partial 16S ribosomal RNA". It matches the Rfam family "Bacterial small subunit ribosomal RNA", at positions 329 to 792 of the family's 1533-position model. The record is from RNAcentral.
UGCCAGACUCCUACGGGAGGCGGCAGUGGGGAAUAUUGCACAAUGGGGGGAACCCUGAUGCAGCGACGCCGCGUGGGUGAAGGAGUACUUCGGUACGUAAAGCCCUAUCAGCAGGAAAGAAAAUGACGGUACCUGACUAAGAAGCCCCGGCUAACUACGUGCCAGCAGCCGCGGUAAUACGUAGGGGGCAAGCGUUAUCCGGAUUUACUGGGUGUAAAGGGAGCGUAGACGGCAGUGCAAGUCCGGAGUGAAAGCCCGGGGCUCAACCCUGGGACUGCUCUGGAAACUGUAAAGCUGGAGUGCGGGAGGGGCAGGCGGAAUUCCUGGUGUAGCGGUGAAAUGCAUAGAUAUCACGCAGAACUCCGAUUGCGAAGGCAGCUUACUAAGCCAUAACUGACACUGAAGCACGAAAGCGUGGGGAUCAAACAGGAUUAGAUACCCUAGUA